Molecule: non-coding RNA, 462 nt
Organism: Nicotiana tabacum (common tobacco)
Lineage: Eukaryota; Viridiplantae; Streptophyta; Magnoliopsida; Solanales; Solanaceae
Source: RefSeq, a predicted model, not a curated record
AGGACUCCUAGAAAACAUUGUAUUAUGAGGAUUCAUCACAAAAUUGACUAGUUUUACAUUGACUGUUAGCCUGCCGUAAAUAUCCUCCUUUUACUACUGACAUACUACACUCCUUUUAACUGAAAUAACUGUCUUCGAUCUUGUCUGACAGAUUAGGAUGUGGUAUGCACAACUACGCCAGUAGAGCAGAAUGUUAUAAAUGCAAAACACCUAGGGAUUUUGGAGGUGAUCUGAGAGAAAGUAAUUUAUAUUGAGCGCGGCGACAUGAAGUUAUAACUGAAAUGUACCAGAACACAUAACCCUCAAUAACCUUUCUUUUCCUUCUAGUUUUUCUUUUCUUCCUUUCUUUAACAGUGUUUAGUAGCAUUUCCUUGUAGUUUCUCAAAGAAGGGUUUCUAAAUCUAACUGCAUUGUAACUUCGCAAAUUGUUCUAUGAAUGAAAUCCCUUCAGAUUUUGCAUUC